GACGAACGCUGGCGGUGUGCUUCACACAUGCAAGUCGAACGAGGUAGCAAUACCUAGUGGCGGACGGGUGAGUAACGCGUGGGAAUCUGCCUCUAGAUGGGGGAUAACGGGUCGAAAGACUCGCUAAUACCGCAUAUGACGAAAGUUGAAAGGAGUAAUCCGUCUAAAGAUGAGCCCGCGUCCGAUUAGCUAGUUGGUAGAGUAAAAGCCUACCAAGGCGACGAUCGGUAGCUGGUCUGAGAGGAUGAUCAGCCACAAUGGGAACUAGAGACACGGCCCAUACUCCUACGGGAGGCAGCAGUGGGAAUUUUACGCAAUGGGCGAAAGCCUGACGUAGCGACACCGCGUGAGCGAAGAAGCCCCUUGGGGUGUAAAGCUCUGUCAGCUGGAACGAAAAAAAUGACGGUACCAGCAGAGGAAGCAUCGGCUAACUACGUGCCAGCAGCCGCGGUAAU
Molecule: ribosomal RNA, 455 nt
Filed under: uncultured bacterium
Lineage: Bacteria
Description: bacterial SSU rRNA
Rfam family: Bacterial small subunit ribosomal RNA
Source: RNAcentral